GACGAACGCUGGCGGCGUGCUUAACACAUGCAAGUCGAGCGAGGCCCGCUCUUCGGGGUGGUGCCCUAGCGGCGAACGGGUGAGUAACACGUGGGCAACCUGCCCUCAGCUCUGGGAUAACUCCAAGAAAUUGGUGCUAAUACCGGAUGUGACCGCUGACCGCAUGGGUCUAGGUGGUGGAAAGAUUUUUCGGCUGAGGAUGGGCCCGCGGCCUAUCAGCUUGUUGGGUGGGGUGAUGGCCUACCAAGGCGACGACGGGUAGCCGGCCUGAGAGGGUGACCGGCCACACUGGGACUGAGACACGGCCCAGACUCCUACGGGAGGCAGCAGGUGGGGAAUAUUGCGCAAGUGGGCGGAAGCCUGACGCAGCGACGCCGCGUGGGGAUGACGGCCU
This 394-nucleotide ribosomal RNA is filed under the name uncultured bacterium. RNAcentral describes it as "bacterial SSU rRNA". It matches the Rfam family "Bacterial small subunit ribosomal RNA", at positions 28 to 417 of the family's 1533-position model. The record is from RNAcentral.